CCUACGGGAGGCUGCAGUGGGGAAUAUUGGACAAUGGGCGAAAGCCUGAUCCAGCCAUGCCGCGUGUGUGAAGAAGGCCUUCGGGUUGUAAAGCACUUUCAGUGGGGAAGAAAGCCUUGGGGCUAAUACCCUCGAGGAAGGACAUCACCUACAGAAGAAGCACCGGCUAACUCCGUGCCAGCAGCCGCGGUAAUACGGAGGGUGCGAGCGUUAAUCGGAAUUACUGGGCGUAAAGCGCGCGUAGGCGGUCUGAUAAGCCGGUUGUGAAAGCCCCGGGCUCAACCUGGGAACGGCAUCCGGAACUGUCAGGCUAGAGUGCAGGAGAGGAAGGUAGAAUUCCCGGUGUAGCGGUGAAAUGCGUAGAGAUCGGGAGGAAUACCAGUGGCGAAGGCGGCCUUCUGGACUGACACUGACGCUGAGGUGCGAAAGCGUGGGUAGCAAACAGGAUUAGAUACCCGGGUAGUC
RNAcentral lists this ribosomal RNA (465 nucleotides) under Vreelandella stevensii. RNAcentral describes it as "partial 16S ribosomal RNA". It matches the Rfam family "Bacterial small subunit ribosomal RNA", at positions 338 to 795 of the family's 1533-position model. The record is from RNAcentral. Lineage: Bacteria; Pseudomonadati; Pseudomonadota; Gammaproteobacteria; Oceanospirillales; Halomonadaceae.